Long non-coding RNA from Mustela erminea (ermine), 561 nucleotides. RefSeq lists it as uncharacterized. NCBI's taxonomy places the organism in Eukaryota, Metazoa, Chordata, Mammalia, Carnivora, Mustelidae. The record is from RefSeq and is a predicted model, not a curated record. The transcript is spliced from 3 exons.
UGCCUAGAGAAUCAGCACCAUUAGAAAGCCAUGGAUCGAUCCCAGAAUACCCAGUUAGAAGUGUCACUUAACAGAAUCCAGGGACAACUAAGGUUGAAUGCUUCAUAUUCUAAGAGAGGUGGGACAUGCAGUCAAGCAAUUCAAGGAACAGGAAAGAAUAUGCAUGGAUAAACAGAUUUUAUAGCAAGUCUGCAGUGCCUUAGAAUGGGAAGCAGAAGGCAAAGCUGAAGGGAUAAAGAAAUCAGGGGAAACUGGAGGAGUGGAGUCAGGAGCACACUGAAAGGGAAAGAAGGGAGUUGUAACUGACAAACCGUACAGAAGCCAGAAGACAGUGGAAGAGAAAAUGGUCCAAACAGCCAUUAUUAAAAGUAAAUUAAAUGGCCUACAGAAAGCGGUUAAUGCGACUUCCAUCAUGGCAGAGAAAAAGAAUGUCUACACUGGAAGAAUGAACAGAGAGACUAAGACUGGUCAAUAAUCCUUACUUACUGUCAGAUACAUGGCUGCAUAGACGCUGAGAGCCGCUUCUUUGGAUGGGAACGUCUUCCUGGCUCUCAUGAUGAG